UUGACCUAGAAGCCAAAAAGAGGCUUAUUAUUGUUAAUAAUAACAUUGAAUAUUUUAUUCCUGUCAAG
RNAcentral lists this transfer RNA (68 nucleotides) under Willemoesia forceps. RNAcentral's name for it is "tRNA-Asn". Lineage: Eukaryota; Metazoa; Arthropoda; Malacostraca; Decapoda; Polychelidae. The record is from RNAcentral.